GGAAGAGCUCAGUGGUAGAGCGUGCGCUUAGCAUGCACCGGGUCCUGGGUUCAAACCCCAGUGCGUCCA
This 69-nucleotide transfer RNA is filed under the name Camelus bactrianus (Bactrian camel). It matches the Rfam family "tRNA". Rfam says of the family: Transfer RNA (tRNA) molecules are approximately 80 nucleotides in length. The record is from Rfam by way of RNAcentral. Lineage: Eukaryota; Metazoa; Chordata; Mammalia; Artiodactyla; Camelidae. RNAcentral also lists the same sequence under 2 other names.